This 229-nucleotide ribosomal RNA is filed under the name uncultured bacterium. RNAcentral's name for it is "partial 16S ribosomal RNA". It matches the Rfam family "Bacterial small subunit ribosomal RNA", at positions 568 to 796 of the family's 1533-position model. The record is from RNAcentral.
UGCGUAGGCGGCCUGAUAAGUCAGAGGUGAAAGCCCACAGCUCAACUGUGGAAUUGCCUUUGAUACUGUUAGGCUUGAAUUAGGUUGAGGUUAGCGGAAUGUGACAUGUAGCGGUGAAAUGCAUAGAUAUGUCAUAGAACACCAAUUGCGAAGGCAGCUGGCUAGACCUUAAUUGACGCUGAGGCACGAAAGCGUGGGGAGCGAACAGGAUUAGAUACCCUGGUAGUCC